This 253-nucleotide ribosomal RNA is filed under the name uncultured bacterium. RNAcentral describes it as "partial 16S ribosomal RNA". It matches the Rfam family "Bacterial small subunit ribosomal RNA", at positions 524 to 776 of the family's 1533-position model. The record is from RNAcentral.
UCCAGAGGUCCCGAGCGUUGUUCGGAUUCAUUGGGCGUAAAGCGUGCGUAGGUGGUUUGUUACGUCUGAUGUGAAAGCCCUGGGCUCAACCUGGGAACGGCAUUGGAAAAUGGCUUACUAGAGUGCGGUAGAGGGGUGUGGAAUUCCCGGUGUAGCAGUGAAAUGCGUAGAUAUCGGGAGGAACAUCUGUGGCGAAGGCGACACCCUGGACCAGCACUGACACUGAGGCACGAAAGCGUGGGGAGCAAACAGG